GUAGGUGAACCUGCGGAAGGAUCAUUACCUGAAUAAUUUCAGUCGGGGGUUGGUUUGGUAUUGUGUUUCGGCGCUCUACCAGCCAGCUCUGUCUGCAUAUACCCUGUUUUUUGCGUACCUUUGUUUCCUUGGCAGGCGGACGCGCCUGUCAGUAGGACCCCUUUCAACCCUUUGUAAUAGCAGUCAGCGUCAGGAAAAAACAAUAGUUACAACUUUCAACAACGGAUCUCUUGGUUCUG
Molecule: unclassified non-coding RNA, 239 nt
Filed under: rhizosphere metagenome
Description: partial ribosomal RNA internal transcribed spacer region
Source: RNAcentral